UCGUAGUCAAACCCCACAGCCACGCGAACUCUAAGUCAGUCACGAAUAGGCUAUCCCAACUAACGGCGGGAUAGACUCCACGGAGGGUGUAAGACCCGUGUGGGCGUGUGGCAAAGCUGUGCGGGUUCGGCCUCUUUUCCCUGAGAGUCGCGUUGCUUGAGCAUGCAGCGCUAAGCAGGUCGUAAACUCGAUCUAAGGCUAAAUAUAUCCACAGACCCGAUAGCGAACAAGUACCGUGAGGGAAAGUUGAAAAGCACUCUGGAGAGAGAGUCAAAAGACCGUGAAACCGCUCAGAGUAUAAGCCCAUGGCAACUUGGAAGGCAUAUCGCUAGCGGGGCAUCGGUCUCCCUUCACGGGGAGGUGCUGGUGUUACCUUGCUUCUGUUGUGGCUCGUCACGGUAGGGGGGUCCAGUCCACAUCCCGCCGACGUGUGGGGAGUUCUCGGGUGCGUCGGGUCAUUCGGUGUUGGUUUCGGCCGCGCCGUUUUGGCUCUUCGUGCUUGGUUCUCUUUCAACACGGACGUUCAGACUCAGAGGCAAGACGCGAUAAACAGCCCACCACGGCACGUUGUGAGGUCACCCACAGACUCAGCUUUCGAUUGUGGUCCUUGACGCCGAGCAAGCACAAUGCGUGUCGCAGAUGUUCCUGACCGGGGAGUUGUACCCCCGGAUGGUGGAACGACACGCGCUCAUGAGAGUCAGGAUCGGGCGAUGACAGAGUUCUGGUAUGAUCCUCUUGCGACGAGCCGGCUUCUGGCCAAAUUCCGAUGUUCAGAUCUCCCGCAUGUGCCGCGGGAGAUCGCCUCGACGGUCUGGAGCUUACAGUAGUCCUCUCAGUCGGGCAUCGGAAAGAGUGGUGUAAAGUCCAAGCCCAUCGGUCACGUCUCGAAACACGGGCCAAGGAGUAUAGCAUGUGUGCAAGUCUAAGAGUCUCCCAAAACUCGAAGGCGAAGUGAAAGCAAGGACGCGGCGGGCGAUCUACCCAGAGACCCCGUCAGCUAGAGGGUCCC
This 1009-nucleotide ribosomal RNA is filed under the name Gammarus sobaegensis. RNAcentral describes it as "partial large subunit ribosomal RNA". It matches the Rfam family "Eukaryotic large subunit ribosomal RNA", at positions 122 to 776 of the family's 3401-position model. Lineage: Eukaryota; Metazoa; Arthropoda; Malacostraca; Amphipoda; Gammaridae. The record is from RNAcentral.